RNAcentral lists this non-coding RNA (27 nucleotides) under Mus musculus (house mouse). The record is from RNAcentral. Lineage: Eukaryota; Metazoa; Chordata; Mammalia; Rodentia; Muridae.
UGGCAAAAGUCACCAUUCUGGAUCCUC